CGCGUAGGCGGUGCGGUAAGUCACCUGUGAAACCUCCGGGCUCAACUCGGAGCCUGCAGGCGAAACUGCCGUGCUGGAGUGUGGGAGGGGUGCGUGGAAUUCCCGGUGUAGCAGUGAAAUGCGUAGAUAUCGGGAGGAACACCUGUGGCGAAAGCGGCGCACUGGACCACAACUGACGCUGAGGCGCGAAAGCUAGGGGAGCAAACAGGAUUAGAUACCCUGGUAGUCCUAGCCCUAAACGAUGGAUGCUUGGUGUAGCCGGUACCCAACCCGGCUGUGCCGUAGCUAACGCGAUAAGCAUCCCGCCUGGGGAGUACGGUCGCAAGGCUGAA
This 332-nucleotide ribosomal RNA is filed under the name uncultured bacterium. RNAcentral's name for it is "bacterial SSU rRNA". It matches the Rfam family "Bacterial small subunit ribosomal RNA", at positions 568 to 898 of the family's 1533-position model. The record is from RNAcentral.